UCCCUACUCCAAAGAAGCUGCGCGUACUGCAUUAGAUUUGGAAACCCUUCUUCUUGUGCUGAUGAUGAUAGCAAGGGUUGUUGUUGUGGUGGUGGUGUUUGAUCAUAAACAUGUUGUGGUGGUGGUGCAAGAGGUGCAAGAGCUGAAGAACCAUAAUAAUAACUAUGAUGAUUAUUAUUAUUAUUGCAAGGUGGUGAUGAUGAUGAUAUUGGAGGAGGAGGAAGAAGAACAUGUUCAGGGAAAUUGAGCUUGGCUUUGGAGCCUUUGAACUUCAAAGCAGCAGCAUC
This 287-nucleotide long non-coding RNA is filed under the name Glycine max (soybean). Its description in RNAcentral is "long non-coding RNA (GMAX_LNC003624)". Lineage: Eukaryota; Viridiplantae; Streptophyta; Magnoliopsida; Fabales; Fabaceae. The record is from RNAcentral.